RNAcentral lists this ribosomal RNA (292 nucleotides) under uncultured bacterium. RNAcentral's name for it is "partial 16S ribosomal RNA". It matches the Rfam family "Archaeal small subunit ribosomal RNA", at positions 455 to 747 of the family's 1478-position model. The record is from RNAcentral.
GUGUCAGCCGCCGCGGUAAUCCCAGCAGUCCAAGUCGCAAUCACAAUUAUUGGGUCUAAAACAUCCGUAGCUUGCUUUGUAAGUCUCUUGUGAAAUCCGGCCUCUUAAGGGUCGAAGUGCGAGAGAUACUGCUUAGCUUGAGACCGGGAGAGGUAAGAAGUACAAACGGAGUAGCGGUAAAAUGUGUUGAUCCUGUUUGGACUAACAACAGCGAAGGCAUCUUACUAGAACGGAUCUGACAGUGAGGGAUGAAGGCUAGGGGCGCAAAAGGGAUUAGAUACCCCAGUAGUCC